UUAUUAAACAUAGAUCUUCUCAUUAUAAAACUACUAUUGAAUUGACAAAAAAAAAUAUAUAUAUAUAUAUAUAUAUCGCCAAUAAGCUCUUCUCUCUCUCACCACCUCUUUUCCUGAGAGAGAAAUUAAGUUCCGACAGAUCCUUCCAUGGUUGCUACCGGUGUGAAGCGGACUUCGUCGGAAGUGUAUGGCGAAGAUUAUUUGUCAGAAGAUGGAGUUGGGAUGGGGAUGAGGGCUCCUACUUCUCUUUGAAGAAAUUGAUGGACGACUCAAGACUAUUACUCAGUUAGCGUCGGUGCUCAUGUGGAAGGAGAUUUCGUGAUGUUUGGUAUGCUCGCCGGCGGCGUUAAAGAAAUUCUAUUCUUCAGCACCGUUUGUAACAUGUGUUUUAAGACGUGGCUUCAUUUUACUAAGCCUUAUCAGCUUCUGAUGGGUUUCUUAUAGGCGUACGUUGCAAAACGUAGUUGGGCUUGAACAUCACCAUCUGUAAUCUUUGGGUUUUUCCAUUAGUGUAAAAGGCUACAAAAAAUGUAUAUCUUCUCAUCUGAACGCAGUAGCCGACUAAUCUCGCUCAAUCUAUAUAACUAUCUCUCAACCUCUUUCCCUUUAACUCCAUCAAUGUCUGCUUUUGUAGGAAACCCAUCACUUAAUCUAACUGAAAACUAGAAAGAUAAGUUUUUAACCUCUCCUCCAAUUCUUCAAUCAAAAGAAAGCUUGAUUUUUUCCUCUGUUAUGAAAAUUGGGUUAUUAAAUCAUCUGUGUUUUAACAGGAUAGUGGAAGGAUCUUCUCUCUUUACCUCCCUCUUGAAAGUUGGUCAAACUAUUAUCUAAUGACAAAAUAUUCCACUGUAAAGAAGACAGAAUGAGAAGAUGACUCGAGAAGCCCAUUGGUAUACCACCACUAGAACCGAUACACAUCCAAUCUUGGAUCUUCAGAUUUUGAGACAAGAAAACUCGCCCAAAAGUUUCUACAUACAUUAGGAAACAAACACCUGAUGAUUUUUAAAAUGAUUCUACCAUGGAAAUGAUUUUAUCAAAACCUUAACAGUCUCUUGGAUAUAUAAAAAGAACAAUAAUGACCAUUCCAAAGAGCUCAUGUAAUUUUGGUAUAUCUAAAUUCGGGAAAUAAUGUUUCAUGCGUUUAACAUUACAAGAAUGAUAAGCAAAACAAGUGUCCAAACACACACCCUCUCAACUCUAGAAAACGAUUACCAGUCCAAUGAUGUUUGGAUUUCCUUUUUUCUUUUGUCAACCUCAUAUGCUUGGGUUUCCAAAAGUAGAUUACAUGAAAUUUUAUAAAUAUUAAUCUUACAACAAACAAAUGAAAAAAAAAUAAGAUAGAAAGAGAGACUACCACAAAAUUGUUUACUUACAAAAAGAAAUAAAAAAAACAUUAAAUCAAAACAUAAAGAAAAUACAUAAAUUUGAGAGUGAAACAUGGCAGCGUUAAGUUACAGAAAAUUCAUUAUGUGUUUGACUCAAGUUUAAGUUAGUUUUUAUGAGUUAUGUGAUGUUUCAGAUUGUGCCUGAAAUAAACUAUUAUUGGGCUAUUACGUAAUGGAGACUCAGACGUUCCAGUUUCAAGAUCAUCGCCAGCAAAGUGGUUACUCUUAAUACCACCACCAUAAAAUCUCAGAGGGUGCUUUGUUUAGUGACUGUGAAAUAGCACUCGUGUCUUAUCCCAUAUAUUACGCCAUUUACUGACAGUUUUCUAUAGAUUACAUGGUUAAGUUAUCACUAAUUUAUAUAUUUUUAAUUUUAAAAAUUUACAUGUUCAUUCUACUUUAAUUAUAAUAAAAAGUAAAAUAAAAUAAGAGUUCUACAAAAAUAUGUUAAAACAUAAAUGAUGGAUUAUUUAUCGGCUUUAUACAUUUAUAAUAGUUAUGAUAAAAGUUCACUAGAAACUUCAUACAUAUUGUCUUACCAAUACUAAGAGGUAAGAGAGAUGUGUUAGGCACCAUGUAUUAGUGCCAGUACAUUUUGAAGAAAAACAUACAUUAGCUUUACACUAAUCACUACGUUUUUAAAAAAGUUUAAAUGGAGCCGGCUAAAGUAUUGUAAAAGAUGAUUAACGAAUAUAAGCAAGUGGUCAAACCGAAAUAGUAACUAACAUAUUAUAUGCCUUCGCAUCAUAAACUGCAUUCAAUUAUCUAACAUAUCUAGCUCAUACAAUUUUCAUCAACAACAAAUAAAACUUGGACUUUAUGAAAGAACUAUCGAGGCAUGUAAAAAAAAAAUCCCGUAAUAGCCAAAGUAAUUUCAUGUAUCUAAUGCAAAUAGUCAAUUCUUAACAUUGAACUUAUGUUACACUACUAUAGCACAUUUCACUAAAUCAUCCUAAAAUCUUUUUUCAUAUCUACUAUUGUAUAGACUACUAAUCUCAAAAAGUCUAAUAAUUAGGACAUACUAGCAGACCCACCCACUCUUACAAAUAUGUUAAUUCAUAGUAUUUCUCAAAUUUAAACAUUACGUUUUUAAAACUUAAAUGAAUACUCUAAAUAUUAACAGGUAACCAGUUUUUUUUGUAUUUAAUCUCACCAUCUCUCGAAAUCACUCAUACAAGAAUAAAUUAUCCCCUUAUUUGGUCCAACAACAAUCAACUUAUGUGAAUAAAAUUUAAAAAAACUAAGAAUAUUCACAUAAUUAAUAAAUUCAAAUACAAACAAAAAAACCUUCCAAAAGUAUAUUUUAAACAAAAAAUCCAUCAAAUCUCGCGCGUAGCGCGGACGGACCCUAGUAUUUUAUACUUCAGAGAUUCAAUGAGAGAUGUUACGCCGCGCGUGCUCUUAGUAGUAAGUAGAGAGAUAAAGUCAGACCCUGAACCUUCAUAUUAAAUGGAUGAAGCUAGCAAAACGAUUCGUCAUAUUUAAAUCUAUUCACCAACAGUUGUCAAGAUUUAAGAUUUUUUCAUAUUAAACUGCAUUGAAAUGAGGGCAGAAAACAUAGUUGGAUUAUCAUCCCUGAAGCUAGCAAAACAAUUGUCACCAACAGUUGUCAACCUUUAACUCAUUUGAUGUAAGUGUCUAGGACUGGGCAUCAUUAUUCAUCGGAGGAAUCAGACUGUUGAUAUGAAAAUGAAAUAGAAAUGAAUAUUAUGCAAAGGAAAAGAAAUGAAGGAACUUAUUAUUUUGCAGCCAAGGUAACACAGUAUCUUAGCAACAAUAUAUGAUCAGGUUUAUAUAUAAAACCCUAGUUACAUGACGAACUCUUCUUCUUCUUCCGUAUAUAAGCAUCUUAGCAGCAUGUAUAUAAGCAUCUUAGCAGCAUAUAUAUAAGCAUCUUACUUCUUAGCAUUGAAACUCUUGUGGGCUUCAAUCUUCAAUCAUCCGCUGGUCUUGCUGCGUCCGGAGUUGCUUCAGGACGAUGAGGGAGUAAACCGAAAGCGAAGAAGAAGCAUGCGGGACCCGAAUCCUUCUUCCGGCGGUAGCUGAGCCAUAAAACUACCGCCACGAGAGCGAGGACGAAUAACAUAGCAAUAAUAGCUGCUAGAACCACGAAUCUAACGGAGUAGAUGAUCUCAAAAUUUAAAGGCAUUUUGUAAAAUGAAAUAGUUUGGAAUAUAAUGAAUUGUUUAUUCUCAUAGCGCUUGGUAUUUAUACAUAGUAAUGACCCUAAGGUGAUAAGGACUCAAAAGUAAAUUAUAAUAACCUGGCAAGCAGAAAUUCCUGAAAUUUCUUACAAGUUAAAUUUAUAUUAUUUUAAAUACUACAAUUAUGUUGCUAGAAUUAUAAUUAUUCUAUAAUCAUCCAAUAAUUAUUUUUAAAUCAUCCAAACUAAAAUAUAUGUUAAAUUUAAAAUUUAAAAUAGUUAUAUAUAUUUUUAACUAAGUUUCAAUUAUAUUUUGAAUAUGAUUUUACUUAUUAAAUUUAUAAAAAUUAUUAAAAUGACUAAUUUGAAUUAUGAAAAAUAAUUAGUAAUAUAAAAUUGUAUGUUUAAAAUGAUUUUCAAUUGUAUUUUGAAUACAAUGUUAUAUCUUUUAUUUAUAAAGCUAAGGCUAUGUAAAUCUACAAUUCGACAUGCGUAGAUUUAGCAUAUGAUAAACAUUUACACAUGCAAUGUAAAAAUCAGUUGUUAAUGUUUCCGUGUUUACUGAUUUAUUUGUUAGUUGCGUGUGUAUAUAAGUAAAUAUAUUAAAUUGCGUGUGUAUAUGACAUAUAUGUAUACAUUAAUUCUUAUGGUAAUGUUUGAUGUUCUCUGCACUUUCCUUUUUCAUUUUUACUUUUCGUUUUCUUCUUAUUUUUAGAUUGAAUUUGGUGGAAAUCCAUAAAGGAUUGUUAAAUUAGAAAUCUAACUUUUUGGAAUGCACAGUGUUGGUCGGAUAGGCAAAACUACAUUUUCAUCCUUUUGUUAAUUUACUGGCUGUUUAGGCAACUAGAACUAUAGAUAUGUAUGUAGUUUUCUUAAAUUGUAUAUACAUCUUUUCUAUUUCUUCAAAUUUUUCGUUUCUUUGUAUUUCUCUCUGUUCUUUCCUAGUUGCACUCUCUAAAUUGUAUCCAUGUCUUCGUCAAUCAUCACCUACUACAACAAUAGAAGCAAUCAAGAUUUGAUACUUUAAUUUUCUUCUAUUUCUUAUAUUUCUUUUGAUCAUAUUCAAAAACCCCAAAAAAAUUGUUCCCUGAGCGUAUUAAAUCUACGCUCUAGGAGGCCUAUUCAUCAAACCUCCAUGUCUUUGUAGCUUGCGUUUCAGAUGAGGAAGAGCCGGUGAGGAGACAGACAAAUGCAACUGUGAUUGAUAUAGCAAUUUUUUUCCAUUUAAACCAAAAAUCUCAUAUCUAGUUGACUCGGUGAGUUAUGAAGGUUUUUCUUCUUUCUUUGAUUAUUUUAUGUUUUUGCCGCUCGGAUGCAUCUCUCAUAUAACCUAUUUUCAGUAAAUCUUACAAAAUUAUCACAAGGGGAUUUUUUUUGUGGUUGAUGAUGAUGACGGUGAAACAAUAUUGGGUAGGGAGAUAGCUUUGAUGAACACACCAGUUGCAAUCAUAACACAAAUGAGGGUUUCUAUAAAACAAUAUAUUGACAUUCUUUUUUUUUUUGU
This is a long non-coding RNA of Brassica napus (rape), 5032 nucleotides long. RefSeq lists it as uncharacterized. The record is from RefSeq and is a predicted model, not a curated record. The transcript is spliced from 2 exons. NCBI's taxonomy places the organism in Eukaryota, Viridiplantae, Streptophyta, Magnoliopsida, Brassicales, Brassicaceae.